CCCUUCGAUGUUCUGGGCCGCACGCGCGCUACACUGAUGCAUUCAACAAGCCUAGCCUUGACCGAGAGGUCCGGGUAAUCUUUGAAACUGCAUCGUGAUGGGGCUAGAUUAUUGCAAUUAUUAAUCUUCAACGAGGAAUGCCUAGUAAGCGUGAUUCAUCAAAUCGCGUUGAUUACGUCCCUGCCCUUUGUACACACCGCCCGUCGCUCCUACCGAUUGAAUGUGUUGGUGAGGAGCUCGGAUUGGCAGCAGUUGGUGGUUCGCCACCGGCUAUUGCUGAGAAGUCCUCCAAACCGCCCCAUUUAGAGGAAGGAGAAGUCGUAACA
RNAcentral lists this ribosomal RNA (326 nucleotides) under uncultured eukaryote. RNAcentral describes it as "partial 18S ribosomal RNA". It matches the Rfam family "Eukaryotic small subunit ribosomal RNA", at positions 1470 to 1796 of the family's 1831-position model. The record is from RNAcentral.